This 3498-nucleotide long non-coding RNA is filed under the name Panax ginseng (ginseng). RNAcentral describes it as "long non-coding RNA (PGIN_LNC017649)". Lineage: Eukaryota; Viridiplantae; Streptophyta; Magnoliopsida; Apiales; Araliaceae. The record is from RNAcentral.
UAUUAGAAGAUAAGAAAAAUGAGGAGUUUGACUAGCAAGACCAAAACUUGAGGGAAAAACAUAGAAUGCCAAAACUCUCUAUAAAUACCAUGCCUUCUCUCUCAUUGCUUCAUUUUACCAACAUAAGUAAGAUAAAGAGAGAGAGAGAGAGAGAAAAGAGGGAGAGCUUGGUACCCUUGGAGGAGAAAAAAGAGGAAAAAAAAUCUAAGAACCAAGAAGAAGAAGAAAGAAGCAAUACUAUCUACUUUCUUACUUCCACCAAGACAAUUAACAAACAAAGAAAGAGAGAGAGCUUGAAAGGGGGAGGCCGGCAGCUACAAGGAGGAGAAGGAGGAGAGAUCCAAGCCAAGUGUGAAGCAAGAAGAAGCUAGAUCAAGAAAAAGAAGAAAGUAAAGCAAGCACUCUGAGAGGUAAACCUAAAACCCCCACUUUUGUACCUCUAUUUCAUCUUAAAACCAUUUCUUUUUCUUUUGUUAGAUCCAUGGAACCUAGGAGAUAUUAUGCUUGUUUAAACCUAAACACGUUGGAUCUUGGUGGUAUAUACCUUAGAUCACAGAAAAACUUUGAAGGAACUAAGAAAAACCAAGAAGGAAACUUAAACUAGAUUAUGUCAAAAACUCAAAAUCUGAGACUGAAAUUGUAACAUGCAUAACUUAUAAUGUAUUUCGAAUUUUUGCACGAGAUUUGUUGUAGAUGAUAGCUCUCUAAGUUAGCUACAGUUUAGUGGUGGUUUGAGACUUAAAUUAUUUAUGGUGAAUAUUCUACCAAAACAGGACAGACUGAUUAACCCCCUGACCUAAUUUUUGUAUGAACUGUUUUGGGUUGUUAACUUGCUUGAAAAAUUCUGGACUUUUGGCGUGUAAUACUCAAUGACCUAAGGUAGAUCCUGUCCAAAGAUGAGCAAAAAUGAACUCGUAAUGAAAGAGUCAUGACCUAAACAAAAUUAAGAAUUUUAAAAUUAAAACUAAUAUAACUUGAUCAGAUUGGAAUGAAAUUUGGGGUGGAAGUACAUUUUGAUGCAGAGAGAAUAUUGUCCAAAAUUCGUGAUUUUUGGACAUAAUUUCGAAUUUUAAUGAAUUUUGCAAUUUUGGACAGAAACUGGUCUGAAAUAAAUAUUAAAGAUGUUGGGGGGAAAUCUGAAAAAAUAAAAAAUGAUCUAAAAUGUAAUUACUUAGGUGGGGUCAGAAGGAGGGAAAACAAUAAAAUGGUUACGAUGAGUUAAUAGAGAAAAUGGAGAAAAUAAAGCCUACGAAUUUAUGAAAAAUUCAUUAACGUAAAACGAAAAAUGUGUAAUAUAUUUCUACUGGUUAAUUUGUGUUAAAACAGAAUGUAUAAGGUUGUAUGAGUGAGAAAUGAACGUUAUGAAGAUGAAAAAUUAUAUUAAAAUAAUGACAUAACAGAAUGUCUGAGAAUGAGUUUAAGAUAAAUGAAAUUACCGAAACGGGGUUAUGAAUAGUUACCGACGGUAACUAUUAAAAAUGUUAGAUGAAUUGAUAAAGUAAAUCCUUAUGGAUGGUGUAGGUUAUUAUUUGGAAACAGAGAAUAACUUAGACGAAGAAAGUACGCUUUGAACAUGAAAGUUCCCGUAUUUAUGUGCAUUUACAAUUUGUUCUUUAUCGAACUGUAUUUUGUUCUUUAAAGUUCUUGUUGUAUCUUGAACUGUUUUAUGAUGAGUUUGUGUCAUUUGUUCGGCUGGACUCAGUUAACAUGAUUCUAUCAAUUAUGGAUAGGGGCGUAAACGAGUCGAAUCUCAAUGAACACCUUCAUGCUCAGAUUCGGUUUGACUCGAAAAAUUGAGCUCGAAUUCGACUCGGAUUCGACAAGGGAUAUAUAUUUUUGCGCCAGAUUCGACUCGGAUCAUUACUCGGACCUACGAGUCGAGACUCGUUUACAAAGCGAGUUACUCAUGAGCCUUCAAAUCGAGUUUCGAAUAUGAAUCAUUUCACUUAAAACUAAACCACUACAUACUAAAUUGGUUACUUAACUAAUAUUUAUAUAUAAAACUUUUUCACUUUUAUUUAUGUAUUGAAAUUAUAAAGAAUAUAAUAUAAAUUGACAUUCAAUUAAUUAACUUAUUCAAGUACAAGUUUACACAAUUUCAUACUACACUUUAUAAAUUAUAAAUAUUGAUACAAAUAUCACAUAUUUAGCUUACUAGCAUGGAUCAAACCAAUAUUCAAAUAUGAUCCAUCGAACAUGUAUCGGGUAUGGUUCAAGAAAAAAUGAAAUAUUCAAACCCUAAUAUAAGCGAACACUGGUAUGCUCGAAUUCGACUCGUGUAUCAUUAAACAGAAAACGAGUAUGGAUUAGAUUCGACUCGGAUUAACUUCGAAUUCGAGCUUUGGAUCAUAUUUUCGAGCCGAUCUCGAGUCGAGUACCGAACUACUUGACUCGGCUUACACUCCUAAUUAUGGAAUUGUUCAUAAUUCUUUGAAGAUAUAUGAAUAUAAUAUAAUUCAAAUUAUUUUGGUGCGGAAUCUGAUGUUAUGACCGAGUAGAACCCUAGAAAUAGGGGAUAUUGUGAUGUUGUCAGGUAACCGACAUACACUGUCAAAAUACAGUGUGGAGAUGAUGCUACGUGAAAUAUGGAGUAUUGUUUGGUUGAUCCCCUAAUGAUUCUCUGUGGAGAGUUCGCAGGCUUUGUGACUGUUGAACAUUAUUGGAGAGUUUCCAGUCCAAGACUGAUAAACAUUUAAGAUAAUUCAUAAUCCCUAUGACCAAUCAGUUGACUUUCAAUUACCCUUAAUAACGUAAUGAGUUUUGUGAUUCUAUAAGUUUAGAGAUUUCAAGUUCUGAGUCUUGUGGAGAUAUCUUUGUUGAUUCCCCCAUUGACAAAUGUUACACUUUCCUUUCUAAACUAUCAGUAUUUGCGUCAAUGAUAUCUAUUUUUAUGAUACUUUGAAUUGUUUAUACUUGCUGAGUAAAUUAGUUGUUCACUCUUGUGACUAUUGUGAGUCUCAUAUUUACAGCCAAGACAGAGGGACACGAGGGGUCAAGAACGAAAGACAAUGAAAAAUGCAAAGCAACCGAAGAAGAUUAGAAAUUAAGAUGUAUUAAUAAAUUUAAAUGAUAUAAUAUUUUGGGAAUGAUGUAAGGAUUAUAUAAUGGUGAUUGUAAUUAAGACCUGGAUUUGUGUGACUAAAUUAUGUAAUUAACGUAAUGUUUAUGCAACUUAUUUAUAUUAUAAAUUAGUUAUUAUGGUUGUGGUUAGAUAGUGAGUACCAAAUUUGCGGUAUCGAGUAAUCAGAUUUGGGGGUGUCACUUGCUAGCCCUGUGAUCAGCCUAGCCCUCAGUAAAUCCCCAAUCAGUCUGGCUCUAAAAGUUAAUUAAAAAAGCAAAACAGACAUUCUCCCUAGUAAGUGGAGACCAACAACUUAAAGUCCACUAUUUAUUUUCAGUUCUACCUCUCUCAUUUAAAUUUAGCUGUUAUCACUAUCUGUGUUUUUAUAUUUUUAUAUUUUCUUUUUCUGCAUAUCUGAUUAGUUCUGAUAAUCUCUA